CGGACCGGCGCACGGGUGAGUAACGCGUAUGCAACUUGCCUAUCAGAGGGGGAUAACCCGGCGAAAGUCGGACUAAUACCGCAUGAAGCAGGGGCCCCGCAUGGGGAUAUUUGCUAAAGAUUCAUCGCUGAUAGAUAGGCAUGCGUUCCAUUAGGCAGUUGGCGGGGUAACGGCCCACCAAACCGACGAUGGAUAGGGGUUCUGAGAGGAAGGUCCCCCACAUUGGUACUGAGACACGGACCAAACUCCUACGGGAGGCAGCAG
This 264-nucleotide ribosomal RNA is filed under the name uncultured bacterium. RNAcentral's name for it is "partial 16S ribosomal RNA". It matches the Rfam family "Bacterial small subunit ribosomal RNA", at positions 91 to 354 of the family's 1533-position model. The record is from RNAcentral.